GGUUAAGCGACUAAGCGUACACGGUGGAUGCCCUGGCAGUCAGAGGCGAUGAAGGACGUGCUAAUCUGCGAAAAGCGUCGGUAAGGUGAUAUGAACCGUUAUAACCGGCGAUGUCCGAAUGGGGAAACCCAGUGCAAUUCGUUGCACUAUCGUUAACUGAAUACAUAGGUUAACGAGGCGAACCGGGGGAACUGAAACAUCUAAGUACCCCGAGGAAAAGAAAUCAACCGAGAUUCCCCCAGUAGCGGCGAGCGAACGGGGAGCAGCCCAGAGUCUGAAUCAGCUUGUGUGUUAGUGGAACGGUCUGGAAAGUCCGACGGUACAGGGUGAUAGUCCCGUACACCAAAAUGCACAGGUUGUGAACUCGAAGAGUAGGGCGGGACACGUGGUAUCCUGUCUGAAUAUGGGGGGACCAUCCUCCAAGGCUAAAUACUCCUGACUGACCGAUAGUGAACCAGUACCGUGAGGGAAAGGCGAAAAGAACCCCGGCGAGGGGAGUGAAAAAGAACCUGAAACCGUGUACGUACAAGCAGUGGGAGCACCUUCGGGUGUGACUGCGUACCUUUUGUAUAAUGGGUCAGCGACUUAUAUUCUGUAGCAAGGUUAACCGUAUAGGGGAGCCGCAGGGAAACCGAGUCUUAACUGGGCGUUAAGUUGCAGGGUAUAGACCCGAAACCCGGUGAUCUAGCCAUGGGCAGGUUGAAGGUUGGGUAACACUAACUGGAGGACCGAACCGACUAAUGUUGAAAAAUUAGCGGAUGACUUGUGGCUGGGGGUGAAAGGCCAAUCAAACCGGGAGAUAGCUGGUUCUCCCCGAAAGCUAUUUAGGUAGCGCCUCGUGAAUUCAUCUUCGGGGGUAGAGCACUGUUUCGGCUAGGGGGUCAUCCCGACUUACCAACCCGAUGCAAACUACGAAUACCGAAGAAUGUUAUCACGGGAGACACACGGCGGGUGCUAACGUCCGUCGUGAAGAGGGAAACAACCCAGACCGCCAGCUAAGGUCCCAAAGUCAUGGUUAAGUGGGAAACGAUGUGGGAAGGCACAGACAGCCAGGAUGUUGGCUUAGAAGCAGCCAUCAUUUAAAGAAAGCGUAAUAGCUCACUGGUCGAGUCGGCCUGCGCGGAAGAUGUAACGGGGCUAAACCAUGCACCGAAGCUGCGGCAGCGACACGAUGUGUUGUUGGGUAGGGGAGCGUUCUGUAAGCCUGCGAAGGUGACCUGUGAGGGUUGCUGGAGGUAUCAGAAGUGCGAAUGCUGACAUAAGUAACGAUAAAGCGGGUGAAAAGCCCGCUCGCCGGAAGACCAAGGGUUCCUGUCCAACGUUAAUCGGGGCAGGGUGAGUCGACCCCUAAGGCGAGGCCGAAAGGCGUAGUCGAUGGGAAACAGGUUAAUAUUCCUGUACUUGGUGUUACUGCGAAGGGGGGACGGAGAAGGCUAUGUUAGCCGGGCGACGGUUGUCCCGGUUUAAGCAUGUAGGCUGGUUAUCCAGGCAAAUCCGGAUAAUCAAGGCUGAGGUGUGAUGACGAGGCACUACGGUGCUGAAGUAACAAAUGCCCUGCUUCCAGGAAAAGCCUCUAAGCAUCAGGUAACAUCAAAUCGUACCCCAAACCGACACAGGUGGUCAGGUAGAGAAUACCAAGGCGCUUGAGAGAACUCGGGUGAAGGAACUAGGCAAAAUGGUGCCGUAACUUCGGGAGAAGGCACGCUGGUGUGUAGGUGAAGCCCCUGCGGGUGGAGCUGAGACCAGUCGAAGAUACCAGCUGGCUGCAACUGUUUAUUAAAAACACAGCACUGUGCAAACACGAAAGUGGACGUAUACGGUGUGACGCCUGCCCGGUGCCGGAAGGUUAAUUGAUGGGGUUAUCCGUAAGGAGAAGCUCUUGAUCGAAGCCCCGGUAAACGGCGGCCGUAACUAUAACGGUCCUAAGGUAGCGAAAUUCCUUGUCGGGUAAGUUCCGACCUGCACGAAUGGCGUAAUGAUGGCCAGGCUGUCUCCACCCGAGACUCAGUGAAAUUGAACUCGCUGUGAAGAUGCAGUGUACCCGCGGCAAGACGGAAAGACCCCGUGAACCUUUACUAUAGCUUGACACUGAACAUUGAGCCUUGAUGUGUAGGAUAGGUGGGAGGCUUUGAAGCGUGGACGCCAGUCUGCGUGGAGCCAACCUUGAAAUACCACCCUUUAAUGUUUGAUGUUCUAACGUUGGCCCCUGACCGGGGUUGCGGACAGUGUCUGGUGGGUAGUUUGACUGGGGCGGUCUCCUCCCAAAGCGUAACGGAGGAGCACGAAGGUUAGCUAAUCCUGGUCGGACAUCAGGAGGUUAGUGCAAUGGCAUAAGCUAGCUUGACUGCGAGCGUGACGGCGCGAGCAGGUGCGAAAGCAGGUCAUAGUGAUCCGGUGGUUCUGAAUGGAAGGGCCAUCGCUCAACGGAUAAAAGGUACUCCGGGGAUAACAGGCUGAUACCGCCCAAGAGUUCAUAUCGACGGCGGUGUUUGGCACCUCGAUGUCGGCUCAUCACAUCCUGGGGCUGAAGUAGGUCCCAAGGGUAUGGCUGUUCGCCAUUUAAAGUGGUACGCGAGCUGGGUUUAGAACGUCGUGAGACAGUUCGGUCCCUAUCUGCCGUGGGCGCUGGAGAAUUGAGGGGGGCUGCUCCUAGUACGAGAGGACCGGAGUGGACGCAUCACUGGUGUUCGGGUUGUCAUGCCAAUGGCACUGCCCGGUAGCUAAAUGCGGAAGAGAUAAGUGCUGAAAGCAUCUAAGCACGAAACUUGCCCCGAGAUGAGUUCUCCCUGAGACUUUAAGUCUCCUGAAGGAACGUUAAAGACGAUGACGUUGAUAGGCCGGGUGUGUAAGCGCAGCGAUGCGUUGAGCUAACCGGUACUAAUGAACCGUGAGGCUUAACCUU
RNAcentral lists this ribosomal RNA (2902 nucleotides) under Klebsiella quasipneumoniae. RNAcentral describes it as "23S ribosomal RNA". It matches the Rfam family "Bacterial large subunit ribosomal RNA". Lineage: Bacteria; Pseudomonadati; Pseudomonadota; Gammaproteobacteria; Enterobacterales; Enterobacteriaceae. The record is from RNAcentral.